Molecule: long non-coding RNA, 452 nt
Filed under: Callithrix jacchus (white-tufted-ear marmoset)
Lineage: Eukaryota; Metazoa; Chordata; Mammalia; Primates; Cebidae
Description: lncRNA (ENSCJAG00000070123.1)
Source: RNAcentral
UACAUUUAGAAUUCUAUUGACUUCUUCCUUUUAUUUUGUCUUUUAGCCUUGAAAAUAUUGUGCUUCGUUAUUUCGGGCACAGCACAGAUUCAGUUGAGAAGGCAGCUAUCUUUAAUUCAUCUUUCCUAGAGAGUCUUGAAAGAUGCUGCCCCAUUUUCUCCAUGUCUCCAUGGAUGCUCUUGAGAAGACAGCCAUUGUUUAAAUCAUUAUUCCCAGGUAGACAGUUAAUCUUUAUUUCUCUGGUACUUGUAACUUAUUUAUUAUUUGGCCCUUAGCUGCUUAAAUAUUAUAUACCCAUGUGCAUAUCUGUUUUUAUUUAACCAGAUUUGGUUCCACUAAUCUUACCUUUGUAAUUUGACAUAUUUCUGAAAAUUUGAGAAUUUGGGGACACCUUUCUACAAAUCAUGUAUCUUUCUGAUCCAUUUCUCUUUCUCUUUAUAUUGGUCUAAGAC